RNAcentral lists this ribosomal RNA (668 nucleotides) under Tetranychus urticae (two-spotted spider mite). Its description in RNAcentral is "rRNA tetur06g06552". It matches the Rfam family "Eukaryotic small subunit ribosomal RNA", at positions 21 to 606 of the family's 1831-position model. The record is from RNAcentral. Lineage: Eukaryota; Metazoa; Arthropoda; Arachnida; Trombidiformes; Tetranychidae.
UAGUCAUAUGCUUGUCUCAAAGAUUAAGCCAUGCAUGUCUAAGUACAUACUGUUUAUAAAGUGAAACCGCGAAUGGCUCAUUAAAUCAGUUACGGUUCCUCGGAUAUUCUUUUUUACAUGGAUAACUGUGGUAAUUCUAGAGCUAAUACAUGAACAAGUGUUCCAACCUCAGCUUGCUGACGGAAGGAUCGCAUUUAUUAGUACAAGACCAAUGAUUCUUAUUCACCUAGAACCCUGUUCAGUGAUUUCGGUCGCUGUCUAAGGACUAGCAGUGGGGAUCUUAGCAACUUCGGUUGCAUUUCUUGUGAUGACUCUGAAUAACUGAGCAAAUCGUAUGGCCUCUGAGCCGACGAUGUAUCCCUCAAGCAACUGCCUUAUCAACUGUCGAUGGUAGGUUAUGCGCCUACCAUGGUUGUAACGGGUAACGGGGAAUUAGGGUUCGAUUCCGAUUUCAAAAUUAUUUUAUUUUGUAAAUUCUAAGGAAGGCAGCAGGCGCGCAAAUUACACAAUCCCAGUACGGGGAUGUAGUGACGAAAAAUAACAAUACGGGACUCUAUUGAGGCCCCGUAAUUGGAAUGAGUACAAUUUAAAUCCUUUAACGAGGAUCUAUUGGAGGGCAAGUCUGGUGCCAGCAGCCGCGGUAAUUCCAGCUCCAAUAGCGUAUAUUA